Molecule: ribosomal RNA, 329 nt
Filed under: Pseudomonas aeruginosa
Lineage: Bacteria; Pseudomonadati; Pseudomonadota; Gammaproteobacteria; Pseudomonadales; Pseudomonadaceae
Description: bacterial SSU rRNA
Rfam family: Bacterial small subunit ribosomal RNA
Source: RNAcentral
UGGGAAACUGCCUGAUGGAGGGGGAUAACUACUGGAAACGGUAGCUAAUACCGCAUAAUGUCGCAAGACCAAAGUGGGGGACCUUCGGGCCUCAUGCCAUCAGAUGUGCCCAGAUGGGAUUAGCUAGUAGGUGGGGUAACGGCUCACCUAGGCGACGAUCCCUAGCUGGUCUGAGAGGAUGACCAGCCACACUGGAACUGAGACACGGUCCAGACUCCUACGGGAGGCAGCAGUGGGGAAUAUUGCACAAUGGGCGCAAGCCUGAUGCAGCCAUGCCGCGUGUGUGAAGAAGGCCUUCGGGUUGUAAAGCACUUUCAGCGGGGAGGAAG